Molecule: long non-coding RNA, 1074 nt
Filed under: Gossypium barbadense (sea-island cotton)
Lineage: Eukaryota; Viridiplantae; Streptophyta; Magnoliopsida; Malvales; Malvaceae
Description: long non-coding RNA (GBAR_LNC021438)
Source: RNAcentral
GGGAGGAAAGGAGAGAAGUCUGAAAAAGUUCUCUUAAAGCAAGCAAAUGCAGAGACGUUAGCGGAUCAUGUCUCUCACUUCGUCUUGGAUUGGACCACGUUUUCUCAACUAAUAACCAUCUACCACGUCCUUUAACCCUAUACCUACAUCCCACCUAUUCAUUUGUUUUUUCGGCCGGAACUAACAUCUACAAAAUAAUUCGAAUGUGAUUUGUAGAGGGAUGGUUCUUUCUUCAAUAUCAAAAUCAAAAAGGGUCUAAGUUUUAUUUAAAUUUCAGGAUUGGUCAGAGGCAAUUUUACAAUAAUCUACCUAUGCCACCAUGACUUGAUUCCUCUGUACUGAAGUUGGGUUUCAUCUAAUCUCAUAUUGGUUUUUAGAAGAACUUUUUAUAUAGAGUUUAUUAAUUAAUGUAUUUGAUUUAAUAGGUUUGAAGUGCGAAUGAUUGGAAGUUGAAGUGCUAGAACUCGAAUUAAGGAGAUUGUGAAAUGAAAACAUUUGAAUGACGGUAACCAAGACAAGUAUCACAACUUAAAAGCAACCAAUCAAACCAUUGCUGAUCCAUCAUAUUAUUCAUGGCCUACUCUUUAUGUGCAGAGAAAUACUCAAAUCAAUGGGAACCCAAAAAGGAAUCAGAGGAAAUGUAAAGCGAAUUACAUUGAAAUGAAAAGUCUCGCCUAUCAACCAUUGUCUGUUUUAACAAGGGCCCUCUCUCACUAUUCUUGCCCAUCAAAGAUUAACAAGAAUAGCCUAAAUCAAAAUUCCCUGUUUCUUUAUUAUUAUUAUUAUUAUUAUUAUUAUUAUUAUUAUUAUUAUUAUAUCUUAAUUUUAAAACCAAAACAAAAAAAUAAAAAUAAAAAUUGAUGGUGCAAAGAAUUUGAACCCAUAUCAAAUUUUCUUCACGCUUCUUUACCUUUUACCUGCAGAGAAGAAUCAAUCGACAUGCCUGGUUUUGUUGGCACAGCGAGUGAGGUAGAGGAAGCCUGAAACAAGACUCAGACAAAAGUAGCGCAAUCAUCGAAUUUGAUUGCGAAUUUGUGAAGGAGAACAGAGCAGUCCUGAUGCAUCUGCCCCGAC